ACCCUAGUCCUCUGUUUGCUUGCUGAGAAACUGGGGGGAAAAUGAAAGAAAACUAUAAAUCUUUUCAACAUGUUCGAGUUGGAGUGGCAACUGUGACAAUCCAGAUUUUUUUUUCUUCUUCUCACCGUUUCUCAGCCAACAAAUGGAGAACAUUGAUUCCAGAUAAAGCUUUCGGGUGAGGUCCUUCAGCUCUGUUUUGCUGCCUCUGCCUAUUAAGGUAAAGCUUUCCAUGGCAAUCUUAACUUGGAAAAUAUGAAGUGAAGACAGAAGAAACAUCUCCAGAAGUACAGAUGCAUUGGAUAGAAUUUUUACUAUUGAACAUCUUAGGAAAAGAAGGAAGUGUGUCCCUGAUUGGUGUUGCACGUGUAAAGGAGUGGAGGAGACCGAUGGCCACCAUUUUUUCCUUUUUUUACUAGUUCUGGUAGCCUUGGAUUUGUAAUCUCUUCUGCUACAGUUUGUGGGUGUGCAGUGGCUGAUGCCUUGGGCAGUGAGGGAGUUGUAUGAUGGUUGGAAUGGUGCAUUUUUUUUUUUUUUUUUUUUUUUUUUACAAGAAGCAAGGAGGAUAUAUAGAAAAGAAUUCCUUUACUCCUUUCUCUUAUGAUCUGGAAGCAAAUGGAUAAGAGGACUUUUGAGGUGGAGGAAGACUCCUUUUUUAAGCUCAAAUUUAUCUUCCUUAGUGCAUUAUUUUAUUGGUUGUCUGGAAACAGUGGCAAUAAGCGAGAGUUCCGUUGUAGUACUCUCUUUUGAAGUCUACUAGUAGGUGCUCUUUGUAUAGAUCUUGUGUGAUCUGGUGUGCCUUUUUCUAUUAUUAAUUUAUACAUACCUAUCUUUACCUAUAAAAAAAAGCGAGAGUUGCUUUGUAGAUAUCCUUGACAGAACAUACUGUGCAGGUUAGGAGUUGGUUAGUGUUGAUUCCUAUCUGUUUUUAGGUUUCUAUGUGUGAUCCCUGUAUGAUCCAUGCUACAUGCGUUUGGAACUUCUUUUCUAUUUGGAAUUUUAGGUGGAGUUCAUGACUUUUAUUGUGAUAUUACAUUGAACAAAUAGAUGAUACCUUGGUCUUACCAUCUUGGGGCAUCCUCUUGUAUUAAUUUUUUCUAAGCAACCAUGGUAUUAUUUUUGGGAGGUGCAUAGUAUGACCAAAUUACCAUAGCAAAGGGGAAAGAGCUUGGCAUGUUCCAAGUGCACAUGACUUUUGAAAAAUGUUACACAGAAAUGUACCAUGAGAUUCAAGAGACCAAACUCUAUCAUUGUGGAAAGAAAAGACAAAUAAAUGCAUUUAAUAAGUUAUAGAAAGGAAAGGAAUUCCUGCAAAGUUUCUAAGUUAGGACCAGAUUGAGAAGAUAACAGAAAAUGAGCUAUAUUGGCAGGUGGGGGAAGCAGUUUUAGGAGUAAUUAUGAUCUAAGUUUAAAUCCAGAAAUUUAAUUUAGAUUCUAAAUUGAUAUCAAGUCCCAUGGAAGAAAGGAAGAGAGGUGGGGGUUGGCUUAUUAAUUUCUAGUAUGUUAUAGGUGCUUAUAUUAGCUAAAUUUCAGUUCCAACCAUUUAACAAACACCUCCAGAGCCACUUUCCUAUCGAGGCCUGUUCUUUGAUCUUAUGUUCUGUUAGUUGCGGACUUGCCAUGAGAUUUGAGAUGGCCUACACUUAACAAUCUACUUGAGGCCUAUUCUUUGAUCUCAAGUUCUGUUAGUUGCAGACUUGCCAUGAGAUCUAAGAUGGCCUACACUUAACAAUCUACCUUAGUUUUGUUGAUUGGUUGAGCUCUUGUUGAGGUUGUUUUAGCCCCAUUAGUUUGGUUGUUUUAUUUUCCUCUUUUGGCUGUUUUGACGGUGGGUGUAUAGGUAUUGUAUACCUUGAGUCGCUCCUUUGGCACCUCUUUUUAAUAGAUCUUUUUCUUUACCUAUCAAAAAAAAAAAAAAAACACAACAAUCUGCCAAAGAUAACUACUGAUUUCUCAUUAAAAAAAAUCUCUCUGAAGCUUCCCAAUUUUGAUGCCUAAUCUUGACUUGAGUCUUGAACAAAAACAUGUAGCACAUCUUGGUAUUAAGGAAGUUUGACAGAUUAGCAUUAUUCUUUGGCUCUAAGAGGUGUAGUUUCUUUUCCAGUGAGUGACAUGCAAGACAUCUCCUGAUUCUUUAUAGAACAGCAUCACAAAGUAUAACGGAUCAUCACUGAGAUGCAAACUUAAGCAUCUGGGAACUCUAUAUUUUUAUUCUACCUUAAAUUUUCUAAGUGUGACUGAAUUUCAAAUGAUUUUGAACCAAUGAAGAAUAAACUUGAAGUCGACAAUGUUUUGGUUGGGAUAAGUUCUAGAGAUGAUAAGUUCUAUCAUUUCCCUCACCCAUUGGGUUGUGGCAUUAUUGGUUAACCUGUAAAGUGUAUUAGCCUUCAUUAGGAAGUAUUUUAAGGGUGUUCUUGCACUGAGAAGGCAAUAAAGUGAUUGCAUAGCUGAAAAUAUGUUAUAUUCUUUUGGGGUUGGGAGUAGCUUAAUUCAAUUAAUUUUCACUUUGUCUUUCUCUCAACCAACUUUCUCUCUUUUUGAAGGUUUCCUAUCAGUAUGGCCCUUAGGAAUUGAGAUUGAGGAUAUUUAAAGAGAGACUGUAUCUUUUGAGUUAAGGCUUGUCAAGGAGGAAUAUUGUGUGAAAUAGAAUGUUGUUUACUGUCCUAAACAGAAAGAUCAUCUUGGUUUUGGUCAUGUUAAAGUAAUCAAAUGGAAAUUGAAGCAGGAUUUCAUGAUGGCAUAAAAAAUUUACAAGAAAAUUAUUUUAAUGAGAAUGCAAAUGACAUUAGUACAAUCUCCCAUAGAAUCUGCCAAUCCAAAAACCAAAAAAAUAAAAGUAAAAAUGAAAACAAAACCAAGAAAUUGGGGAUAAAAAAGGAAGACAAGGAAGAAAACACCUAAAUAAUCUUUCAGAAUGGAUUAUUUCACAUAUCCAAAAGACGAAGUAAUAUCUUCAAUUUUUAGUAGGUUUGAACAAUUGAAAGGAUAUAAAAAUUUAUUCCUUUCUUAUUGAAUUUAAAAAAGCUCAACAUUGAUCAUUAGACAAUUGAUGGUUUGAGAAAAAAAGGUCAAUCUGGGAAAAUUUUUAUGCGACCUGACAAGUUUAAGAUGAUUCCAGAAUUAUGCAUCUUAAAAUGGAAAUUUUCCAAACUGGACUAUAGAGUACACUUGAAACACUCAGUUAUAUAAAGGGGUUGAGUUCUUUCCCACAUAUGUACAUUCUUAUAAAAUGUUUACAUGAUAACUGUAACAGUUUCCUUCCCAUGAUUCCCACUUCUAUCAAAACAAAUACAAUCAAUAGGGAUAUGCAGGAAGAAACAAUUUUUAUUGGAAACAUAAGUAAUAUACACAUUUGGAAAUGAUUAAUAUACUCAUUUAGAAAUGAAUCUAACUUUUUUAGUGUUUCAAAUGUAGUUUUUGUUUCUGCUUUGAGUGGAAGGUGAUGGCUUUUGAAUUGGGGACAAUAAAAAUUGAAUCUUCUUGGAGUUUUGUACCAAUCGACCAUGCAACAGCAUAAACUGCUACCAUGAUUGUAGAAUGGUCAAGCAGGAGAGAAAGAACGGACACACAUGUGAGGGAAUGGCUAUUAUCUAGGACCAAAUCAAUUAUGGUGGUGUUGUUUUUAGAAGCUUAUUAACCCAAUUGACCGGCUGAGUCGGUUGGACCAUCACUUGGGUUCCAAAACAGGUUAAUUUUAUCUCUUAAUCGAGUUGAAAUGGAAAACACUGUCACCUUUCUGUUACAUGGAUGCCAUGCGUUGAUCUUGAACAACUGUCCUGGAUUUGGCGACCUGACCUAUGCUUUAUGCUUUUAAUCGACGGCUGUGAUCUUUUGCGCUCAUUGAAGCAAUCUCGGCCGUUGAAUUAGCGAGGAAAGAAACCCUAAUUGAUGCUAUUUAAGAGUGACAAGAGAAGAGAGUUGCAAGUUUGCAACAACAGCGCACCGCUCUUGAUGUCGUGCUGCCUUCCCCGUUGUGUACAAUGUCGUCCAUGUUUGACCCUUUUAAGUAAGUUUCUCUUGUUCUUUCUGGAAGUGACAAUCAGAUCGAAAGUGUUUGUUGUGCCAAUGGGCUUGUUUCUUGAAUUUUUUUCUUAAUGCGUUGAAAUUUUCUCGAUAUUAAUGCUGAUCGAAGCUGAUUUUUCCUGUGUGAUAUCUGGAGAUGCAAACCAUUUUUAGUC
Molecule: long non-coding RNA, 4175 nt
Organism: Vitis riparia (riverbank grape)
Lineage: Eukaryota; Viridiplantae; Streptophyta; Magnoliopsida; Vitales; Vitaceae
Exons: 3
Source: RefSeq, a predicted model, not a curated record